RNAcentral lists this ribosomal RNA (690 nucleotides) under uncultured bacterium. Its description in RNAcentral is "bacterial SSU rRNA". It matches the Rfam family "Bacterial small subunit ribosomal RNA", at positions 57 to 719 of the family's 1533-position model. The record is from RNAcentral.
GCAGUCGAACGCUUCUUUUUCCACCGGAGCUUGCUCCACCGGAAAAAGAGGAGUGGCGAACGGGUGAGUAACACGUGGGUAACCUGCCCAUCAGAAGGGGAUAACACUUGGAAACAGGUGCUAAUACCGUAUAACAAUCGAAACCGCAUGGUUUUGAUUUGAAAGGCGCUUUCGGGUGUCGCUGAUGGAUGGACCCGCGGUGCAUUAGCUAGUUGGUGAGGUAACGGCUCACCAAGGCGACGAUGCAUAGCCGACCUGAGAGGGUGAUCGGCCACAUUGGGACUGAGACACGGCCCAAACUCCUACGGGAGGCAGCAGUAGGGAAUCUUCGGCAAUGGACGAAAGUCUGACCGAGCAACGCCGCGUGAGUGAAGAAGGUUUUCGGAUCGUAAAACUCUGUUGUUAGAGAAGAACAAGGAUGAGAGUAACUGUUCAUCCCUUGACGGUAUCUAACCAGAAAGCCACGGCUAACUACGUGCCAGCAGCCGCGGUAAUACGUAGGUGGCAAGCGUUGUCCGGAUUUAUUGGGCGUAAAGCGAGCGCAGGCGGUUUCUUAAGUCUGAUGUGAAAGCCCCCGGCUCAACCGGGGAGGGUCAUUGGAAACUGGGAGACUUGAGUGCAGAAGAGGAGAGUGGAAUUCCAUGUGUAGCGGUGAAAUGCGUAGAUAUAUGGAGGAACACCAGUGGCGAA